RNAcentral lists this long non-coding RNA (4293 nucleotides) under Sus scrofa (pig). Its description in RNAcentral is "lncRNA (ENSSSCG00025067652.1)". The record is from RNAcentral. Lineage: Eukaryota; Metazoa; Chordata; Mammalia; Artiodactyla; Suidae.
GGGAGAAUCAGGAAAAGCUUAAUGGAAAAAUUGACAUUUGGGCUGGAUCCUGAAGGGUCUGUAAAUAUUAGGGUGGAUGGGGAGAGUGUAAGAUGAAUUGUCAAAGCAGGUGAAAUAAAUAUUUGCAAAUGAAGACAGGUGUGGAAAGGCAUAAUGUUUGUCAGGGUGCAAGACUGGAGUGCUGUGCUUGGGAAACAGGACUUUAUUCCACAGCCAUUUGGACUCUGCAGUCAUGUGAAAAUUCUGAGCUGAACUUCGGCACCACCCCUUGGGCACUGAUUUAUAGCCUACAUAGACAAACAGAAUGGGUUGUAAUAUAGUCAACCCACCGAUAUCUAGUACCUUCCCAAUUGUACACAUAUCUUGGACCAAGUAGACUUUAUAGUGUGUCCAUCAUUUAAAAGAACUGAAGAAUUCAGCUGAAAAACUCUUAGCCCAUUUGCUUCCUCCCAGUUUACUCAGUCUAAUAUGAAUCUCUGCAUUUCAGGGAGAACAGAGCAACUGAAGAGAUAAGAACUCAUUGAAAGUUAUAAGAAACUCAAUGGUCAAAUGAAAGAUUUUAAAACAAGGUUAUGGCUGUUUCUACAUAAGGUCACCAAACAUGAUAAAUAUGAAAAAAAGCACAUUUUCUCUAUGAAAUAAAGCAGCAGAUUCUCUGACCUCUGCCCCACUAUAUCAAGACUCAAUACUAGAUGAUAUAUAAUGAUUAUAUGGAAGGACUGUCCCACUGUAUUCACAUAUAGUGUUUUAGAACAGAAUAUAGCAUUUGUUUUAGGAUGGUAAAUCAUAAUCCCUUUCAAUAUAGGUAUUCAACUCUUUGUUUAAAAUCCUCCAAUCCAUUUCUAUGAGAAUUAAAUCUAAAUUCCUUGCCAUGCCCUGUAAAAUAUCCCAGUACUUGAAGCCUUCAUGAUCCUGAACUCAUCUCCGGUCAACCUCCUUUGGGCUUAUAUAUCAGCCAAACUACCUUUCUAUCUAUUCCUCAAACAUCAAGCUAAUACCCCAGGGCCUUUGCACUUGCUCUUUGUACUGCUCUCAUUCUUUUUCCCCAAGAUGCAAAUAGCCUGUUUUAUCUGUCAGAUCCAAUCCCAAAUGUCACCACCCUAUCUGUUCUAAAUUAGACAUAUACACGAUCCAACCUCAACAGCCCCAUCACACUCAAUCAUACCACCCCUCUUAUCUGAAAUCAUUCCAUUUAUUCCCUUGCUUCUGUAUUUAUUCUGCCUUCCCCUUCCAUUCCUGCGCAACAUAUACACGCACUAGGUUGCAAAUACGAGAGCAAGUAACUUGCUCAUGUUCUUUAGGACUGUUUCCAUUUGGGCCUAGGACAGGAGGUUCCCAGGCUAGGGGUCUAAUUGGAGCUGUAGCCACCAGCCUACACCACAGCCACAGCAACUCGGGAUCCGAGCCACGUAUAUGACCUUCACCACAGCUCAUGGCAACACCAGAUCCUUAACCCACUGAGCAAGGCCAGGGAUCGAAACCACAACCUCAUGGUUCCUAGUCGGAUUCGUUAACCACUGAGCCACAACGGGAACUCCCCCUCCCCCAAUUAUUCCUUGAAUCAGCUUCACCAUUUCACUUUCUCUACUAAAAUGUUCUUCAUUUUACCUCCAUAUGUCCCAGAAGAAAGUUUAAACAGCUUUAAACUCAAAGGGGUGCACAAUACUCCAGCAAACUCUGGCACAGUUCAUGUAGGUGUGAAAUCAGUGUGCCUGUUCCCAUGUACACCUAGGAAUAUUCUUCUAGGAAUAUUUGUAUGUCUAUAUUUGUAUAUGUAUUGACAUGUAUUUGUAUGUCUCCUUACAGUUCAGCAGCAUGCAAAUACUAUUUGGCACAUGUAUUUUAUUCUAGUGAGACAGUUCUUUUGCUGUGUAGUCUGAAGUCUGAAAGCCAUGCUGUAUUUAAAGCUCUUAGAAAGAGUAGAAUGAAUCUUGUUUGUUGGUACCCAGUAUGUCUGAGGAACCAGCUCUGGCCUAGUCAUCAUCAAGCUUAUGUUACCAACUCUGUUAAUAUAUAUUAAAGUAUGUCAGGUAAACCUACAUCCAGAAUAUAACAUGUUCACCUUCUGCGGUAGCAUCGUUUAUCAAAAAGGAUCCACUUCAGUUCAUACUUUAUUUAAUUGUCGUUUGUUGCUUGUUGGAAUUAAAAAGGUAAACAUUUUAAAAUGUAUUUCUUUCACGCAGCAAUGUUCUAAAGGAAAAUCUUAAAGAUAGAAGCUUAUUUCUUUCUACUUUCCUAAAACAUACAUAAGACUUUAUUUUAAAACAAUGGCACUAAAAUAUACUGCCAGUGUUGAUGUUUUCUCAUCUAAACUUCUUUUUAAAAUCUUUAUACUUAUAAUGUUCUCUACAUUUUAUUCAAACAAGCAAACACUGAGUAAGCUGCAUUUUAUUGUUUUCUCACAUUAUUUGUAUGCCAAAGGAAAAAGGCAAAAUUGUACUUUUUCAUCAUUUCAGCAGAGUUAAUAUUAGUAUAGGUAUUAACUUUGUGAAGACCUCAAACAGAAGGGGAGAUCUGGUAUGCAUCAUUAUUACACAGAUUAUCUAUUAAUGUAAUUCACCACAUUACAAUGUUAAAGAAGAAACAAAUAAUGGUUAUAUCAGCAGAUGAAAUACCUCUCAUUCAUGUCAAACAAAAGCUUAGCAAACUUGGAAUAAAAGGGAAUUUCCUCAAUUCUCUUGAAAUAUUAUGUUUAGUAAUGAAACAUUGGAAGAAUUCCUUUAAAAUUUGAAAUUACCCUAAAAUGUUCAUUAUCAUUGCUUCAACACAUCCUAUCAGAGAUCUUUAAGCACAAAAGUCAAAAACAAGGAGAGAAUAAAAUAUGAUUGCAAAUGUUAUCUAUAUAUCUAUAUCUAUAUUCAUAUUAAUGCAAUGAUAUGAUAUAAAUGCAAAAAUCUAAUGAAAAAUAUGCAAAGCUUUUGCAAAAGGAUGUUAAAGUGGAAAUUUAGAAUGAGUUGCAGAUGGCAGAUAUCUGAUACCAAAGAGAGUUGUAGACAAAUAAGUGGCAUAUUUUCAGAGGAAAUAUUCAAAAUAAUUUAUGUCCUGUCUCUUAAUAUACCACAUCAUGACAUACUUAUGAAAAAUACCUGAAAGGGAAUUAUGGGUAGGUGGAGACCAUUUAAGAUCUUGUUUUCAUUAGACCUGAUAAUAUAUGUGCUUCUCACCCACACUAUAAAGUGGGAUUGAUAAGGAGAGCACAUUCUAUAUGCCAAGAUGCCCAAAAAGAAAGACUUCAGUGACCCUACUUGGAGAAUUUGAUAUAUGACCAUGCUAUGUAGAAGGCAAGUGGUCUACUGGCUGAGUGCUAGACAAAAAUCUAGAGAACAAGGAAAUGUGACAAGCUACUUUGAUGAAAGAAUUAAAAUGAUGUUAAAGUAGCUGACUUAAGAUCAGCCUGUAUCCCAGAGUUUAUGAGACUAAGGGCAUAAAUGUUUCACAAAAAUUAGAAGUAAGCCAUGAAAACGAGAGAGUUGGCUUACAGCUGGUUUUACUUCUUUCUAAUAAGAGUCAAAUGUGGUAUUUAAUAAUAAGAGUCUACACCACCCUGGAAAACCAGGGGGGCCAAGGCCACAUACAGAAUCUGGAAGAAAACGGUGUGUCAUCCAUUUCAUGGAAGCUGUAGAAGGACAGGACCCAGCAAGGGAGCUUAUGUGAAAGUUAGGAAAGAUCCCACAAUAGAGACAGCUUUGAACAUCUGCCAGGCCCAAGCCAAUUCUCCUCAAAGGUUUUUUUUGUUUGUUUGUUUUUUAAUGUAAAGCAUGUAUUUUUCAGAUAUUUUAACAAGCAGAUCUCCAAAUUUAUUUGGGAUUAAAACGUCCAAAAGUUUGUAAGUUUAAAUUUUAAGAACAAAAUUGGUGAUAGGAGAAACUUUCUGUACUUGACAUUAAAACUAAGUGCAGGGUCAGAGUAGUCGUGAUAGUGUUAGGCAAAACAAACAAAUGGAACAGAAUUAGAAACUAUAAAAUGGAUCCAGAUAUAUGUGUGUAAUUAAUUUACAAAAGCUGUAUUGGUGUUCCCGUUGUCACUCAACAGGCUAAAGACCUGACCUUGUCUCUGUGAGGAUGGGGAUUUGACCCCUGGCCUCACUCAGUGGGUUAAGGAUCCAGCAUUGCUGCAAGCUGCAGCAUAAGUCACAGAUGUGGCUCAGACCCAGUAUUACCAUGGCUAUGGCGUAGGCUGAGACUAUGGUGUAGGCUGAGGCUACAGCUCUGAAAUCAACACCUUGAUCCCUGGCCCAGGAACUUCCACAUGCUGCAAGUAUGGCUGUUAAAAAAAAAAAAAAAAAAAAAAAAA